GACGAACGCUGGCGGCGUGCCUAAUACAUGCAAGUUGAGCGAUGAAGAUUGGUGCUUGCACCAAUUUGAAGAGCAGCGAACGGGUGAGUAACGCGUGGGGAAUCUGCCUUUGAGCGGGGGACAACAUUUGGAAACGAAUGCUAAUACCGCAUAAUAACUUUAAACAUAAGUUUUAAGUUUGAAAGAUGCAAUUGCAUCACUCAAAGAUGAUCCCGCGUUGUAUUAGCUAGUUGGUGAGGUAAAGGCUCACCAAGGCGAUGAUACAUAGCCGACCUGAGAGGGUGAUCGGCCAAAUUGGGACUGGGAAACGGCCCAAACUCCUACGGGAGGCAGCAGUAGGGAAUCUUCGGCAAUGGACGAAAGUCUGACCGAGCAAAGCCGCGUGAGUGAAGAAGGUUUUCGGAUCGUAAAACUCUGUUGGUAGAGAAGAACGUUGGUGAGAGUGGAAAGCUCAUCAAGUGACGGUAACUACCCAGAAAGGGACGGCUAACUACGUG
This 497-nucleotide ribosomal RNA is filed under the name uncultured bacterium. Its description in RNAcentral is "partial 16S ribosomal RNA". It matches the Rfam family "Bacterial small subunit ribosomal RNA", at positions 28 to 507 of the family's 1533-position model. The record is from RNAcentral.